RNAcentral lists this small nuclear RNA (141 nucleotides) under Chlorocebus sabaeus (green monkey). The record is from RNAcentral. Lineage: Eukaryota; Metazoa; Chordata; Mammalia; Primates; Cercopithecidae.
GUGCUCACUUCAGCAGUGCAUAUACUAAAAUUGGAAUGAUACAGAAAAGAUUUGCAUGGCACCUGCACAAGCAUGGCCCUUGCACAAGCAUGGCUCCUGCGCAAACAUGGCACACAAAUUCGUGAAGAGGUCCCCAUUUUU